Molecule: ribosomal RNA, 440 nt
Filed under: uncultured bacterium
Lineage: Bacteria
Description: partial 16S ribosomal RNA
Rfam family: Bacterial small subunit ribosomal RNA
Source: RNAcentral
CCUACGGGUGGCAGCAGUGGGGAAUAUUGCACAAUGGGGGAAACCCUGAUGCAGCGACGCCGCGUGAGCGAUGAAGUAGUUCGGUAUGUAAAGCUCUAUCAGCAGGGAAGAAAAUGAAGGUACGUGACCAAGAAGCCGCGGCUAACUACGUGACAGCAGCCGCGGUAAUAAGUAGGGGGCAAGCGUUAUCCGGAUUUACUGGGUGUAAAGGGAGCGUAGACGGCUGUGCAAGCCAGAUGUGAAAGCCCGGGGCUCAACCCCGGGACUGCAUUUGGAACUGGGUGGCUGGAGUGUCGGAGAGGCAGGCGGAAUUCCUAGUGUAGCGGUGAAAUGCGUAGAUAUUAGGAGGAACACCAGUUGCGAAGGCGGCCUGCUGGACGAUGACUGACGUUGAGGCUCGAAAGCGUGGGGAGCAAACAGGAUUAGAUACCCCGGUAGUC